GUGGAUUAGAUACCCGGGUAGUCCACGCCCUAAACGAUGCUCACUAGGUGUUGGGGAAGCGAUUCCUUGGUACCGUAGCUAACGCGUGAAGUGAGCCGCCUGGGGAGUACGGCCGCAAGGUUAAAACUCAAAGGAAUUGACGGGGACCCGCACAAGCGGUGGAUGAUGUGGAUUAAUUCGAUGCAACGCGAACAACCUUACCUACCCUUGACAUGUCUGGAAGGCUGCUGAAAGGUGGCUGUGCCCGAAAGGGAACCGGAACACAGGUGCUGCACGGUCGUCGACAACU
This 289-nucleotide ribosomal RNA is filed under the name uncultured bacterium. RNAcentral describes it as "partial 16S ribosomal RNA". It matches the Rfam family "Bacterial small subunit ribosomal RNA", at positions 773 to 1060 of the family's 1533-position model. The record is from RNAcentral.